CUUUAGCUUGGGUAAUAUAGUGAGACUCCAUCUCAAAUUUAAAAAAAGAAAGCAGCUGGGCAUGGUGGCCUGUAAUCCAGCAGCAGUUUGGGAGACUGAGGCAAGAGGAUCACCUGAGGGGCCAGGAGGUCAAGAUCAACCUGAGAUACAUAGUGAGAUCCUGUCUCUCCAAAAAAAAAAAAAAAAAAAGCCAGACUCAGUGGCAUGUGCCUGUAGUCCUAGCUACUUGGGAGGCUGAGGCAGAAGAAUUGAUUGAGCCCAGGAGUUUGAGGCUGCAGCAAGGCAUGAUCAUGCCACUGUACUGAAGCCUGGGUAGCAGAGUGGGACCUUGCUUCUUUAAAAAAAAAAAAAAAAAAAAAAAAGUAGGCUGGGCGUGGUGAUUCAUGCCUGUAAUUCCAGCACUUUGGGAGGCUGAGGCAGGUAGAUUGCUUGAGCCCAGGAGUUCAAGACCAGCCCAGGAGUUCAAGACCAGUUCAAGACAUGGUGAGGCCCUGUCUCUACAAAAAAUACAAAAAUUAGCUGGGCAUGGUGGUGCAUGUCUGUAUUCCCAGCUACCCGAGAGGCUGAGGUGGGAGGAUUGAUUGAGCCUGAGAGGCCAGGCUAUAGUGAGCCAUGAUCACUGCACUCCAGCCUGGGUGACAGAGUGAGACCCUGUCUCACAAAAAAGAAAGAAAGAGAAAGAGAGAAAGAGAAGAAAGAAAGAGAAAGAAAGAAAGAGAAAGGAAGGAAAGGAAGAAAGAAGGAAAAAGGAAGGAAGGAAAGAAGAAAGAAAGAAAAAGGAAGGAAGGAAGAAAAGAAAAGAAAAAAAGGAGGGAGGGAGGAAGGAAGGACUCAUCGUGUACAAUGGAUGCUCGAUAAGAUUAACAUCCUAUUUCUCAUCAGAAACCAUAAAGGCCAAAAGGCAGUAAGAUGACAUAUAUUAAGAGUGCUGAAAGAAAAAAACACCCCCUGUCACCCCAGAAUUCUCUAUCUAACGAAACUAUUCUUCAAAAAUGAAGGAGGGAAAGAAGACAUUAAAACAUUCUAAGAUAAAGACUGGAAGAUUUCAUCACUAGUAAACCUGACGUAUAAGAAAUCCUAGGCCAGGCACGGUGGCUCACCCCUGUAAUCUCAGCACUUUGGGAGGCCGAGGCAGGUGGAUCAUCUGAGGUCAGGAAUUUGAGAUCAGCCUGGCCAACAUGGUGAAACCUCGUCUCUACUAAAAAUAAAAAAAACUUAGCCAGGCGUAGUGGCACGCACCUGUAAUCCCAGCUACUUGGGAGGCCGAGGCAUAAGAAUUGCUUGAACCUAGGAGGCAGAGGUUAUAGUGAGCCGAGAUUGCGCCACUACACUCCAGACUGGGCAACAGAGCAAGACUCUGUCUCAAAAACAAAAAAACAAAAAAGGAAAUCCUAGAGGAGGUCUUUCAGACUGAAAUGACAGUAGACAGUAAUUUGAAUCUACAUGAAGAAAUAAAAUAAACCAUUAAAGGUAACUCCAUAGGUAAAUAUAAAAGGUAGCAUAAAUGUAUUCUUGUUUAAUUUUGUUUAAUUUUUUCCUAUCCUAUUUAAAAGAUAAGUACAUAAUGCAGUAAUUAUAAACCUGCAUUGAUAAUGCACACAAUGUAUUAAGAUGUAUUUUGUGUGACAAUAAUAGCACAAAGAAGGAGAAAGGGAACCAAAGCUAUAUAGGAGCACAUUUUUUGUGUAAUAAUGAAAUUAAGUUGGCAUUUAUCUAAACUAAGUUGUUAUUAAAUAAGAUGUUAAUUGUAAUUCCCAGGACAAUGACUAAGAAAUUAACUCAAAAUAUAGUAAAAAGGCGUGAGCCACUGCGCCCGGCCAACUUAACCAAU
RNAcentral lists this long non-coding RNA (1831 nucleotides) under Homo sapiens (human). RNAcentral describes it as "HSALNT0167518". The record is from RNAcentral. Lineage: Eukaryota; Metazoa; Chordata; Mammalia; Primates; Hominidae.